GACAGUCGGAGACAUGGGGAACCAACAAAUACUUCGGCGGCACUGCUCUUUGCGAAACCAUAUAAUUAUUAAAAAGUCAGACAAAGUCGGACAUUGAAGCCAAACAAAGUCGACCCCUCAAAAAAAACCAGAGGUGCAUGUCUCGCUACAGUAAGUCCACCAAACUACCACCAACCCUAUGUAAAAGACCGAAACAAAUAAAAAAUAUACAACUUCAAGACAAAACCUUCAAGUAGAAAUCGCCGCAGGUGCGUUGAUGAUGACUAAUCAACUGAAAACUGAUUUCGGAAUUUUCAUCCAAAAAACGAAUCAUCACCUUCAACAACAGCACGAGGCAGGCGCACGUCGG
RNAcentral lists this long non-coding RNA (349 nucleotides) under Brachypodium distachyon (stiff brome). Its description in RNAcentral is "long non-coding RNA (BDIS_LNC002235)". The record is from RNAcentral. Lineage: Eukaryota; Viridiplantae; Streptophyta; Magnoliopsida; Poales; Poaceae.